Molecule: non-coding RNA, 844 nt
Filed under: Pan troglodytes (chimpanzee)
Lineage: Eukaryota; Metazoa; Chordata; Mammalia; Primates; Hominidae
Source: RNAcentral
GGUCCACGGGCGGGACUCGGCAGGUUUGCUGCAAGGACUCGGUGCGGCGCGACCCGUUACCGGAGAGGCGGGCCGGAGGCGCACCAGCUCCGCCGCGCUGGUGGCUUUGCGCUCCCUCCCUGGCAUUCACGCGUGUUGCGUUUGAGUCGAGCCAGGCAUCAUUCAGGGAUGUGGUCUCCGUGACCUCGCUUUCCUUCUGCCGCCAGACCCACCUCCCACAAACCCCUAGGCUUUCUUGAGGAGAGUGGAAUUUGUUGGGUGAGGAGUAUGAAUAGAGCUGUCGUGUGCAGACAUCUUCGGGUUUAGUGAAUGUUUCACAUGUGUACAUUUGAGCUCUUCCUAAGGAAUGGAAGCCCAGACUGCCUGGGAGGCAGGAGACCUCGUUUCCAGCUCCCGGCCCUUACUGCCGCUGCAAAUCCUAGACUGGCUAGAGACCAUUCGCUGCAGCGGACGUCGGAAAACGAGACCUCGCAGUUCAGGAGGCAGGAAAAAGACAUGCCCGCGCCCUCAUCCCAAUAGGUGCUCAUAGCGUUUGGCCAGCUUGAGCUCCAUUCGGCCCCCACUUACCCAAGGGCCCCUUCCCCGCGGCCUUCGCUUUUAGCUCCUCGAGUUUCUUCUGCUCCUCUUUUUGUUUCUGCUUGAAAGCCUUAUCUUCCUGGGGAGAGGCAGAGCGUGUUCAACUCAGGCCUGUCUCCCAGCGCCCCCGCACCCGCCAGUGCCUCCGCGCCCGCCCUCACCUCGUCCAUCUCCUUGGCCUGCUUCUUGGGCUGUUUCAGUGGCUUCUUCUUGCCACCUGUGGGCGACACGAGCACGUUCGGCCUGCCCCUGCCGCCCGGUCCCCACC